This 800-nucleotide ribosomal RNA is filed under the name Bacillus pumilus. RNAcentral's name for it is "bacterial SSU rRNA". It matches the Rfam family "Bacterial small subunit ribosomal RNA", at positions 116 to 901 of the family's 1533-position model. Lineage: Bacteria; Bacillati; Bacillota; Bacilli; Caryophanales; Bacillaceae. The record is from RNAcentral.
CGUGGGUAACCUGCCUGUAAGACUGGGAUAACUCCGGGAAACCGGAGCUAAUACCGGAUAGUUCCUUGAACCGCAUGGUUCAAGGAUGAAAGACGGUUUCGGCUGUCACUUACAGAUGGACCCGCGGCGCAUUAGCUAGUUGGUGGGGUAAUGGCUCACCAAGGCGACGAUGCGUAGCCGACCUGAGAGGGUGAUCGGCCACACUGGGACUGAGACACGGCCCAGACUCCUACGGGAGGCAGCAGUAGGGAAUCUUCCGCAAUGGACGAAAGUCUGACGGAGCAACGCCGCGUGAGUGAUGAAGGUUUUCGGAUCGUAAAGCUCUGUUGUUAGGGAAGAACAAGUGCGAGAGUAACUGCUCGCACCUUGACGGUACCUAACCAGAAAGCCACGGCUAACUACGUGCCAGCAGCCGCGGUAAUACGUAGGUGGCAAGCGUUGUCCGGAAUUAUUGGGCGUAAAGGGCUCGCAGGCGGUUUCUUAAGUCUGAUGUGAAAGCCCCCGGCUCAACCGGGGAGGGUCAUUGGAAACUGGGAAACUUGAGUGCAGAAGAGGAGAGUGGAAUUCCACGUGUAGCGGUGAAAUGCGUAGAGAUGUGGAGGAACACCAGUGGCGAAGGCGACUCUCUGGUCUGUAACUGACGCUGAGGAGCGAAAGCGUGGGGAGCGAACAGGAUUAGAUACCCUGGUAGUCCACGCCGUAAACGAUGAGUGCUAAGUGUUAGGGGGUUUCCGCCCCUUAGUGCUGCAGCUAACGCAUUAAGCACUCCGCCUGGUGAGUACGGUCGCAAGACUGAAACU